This is an RNA transcript of Aethalodelphis obliquidens (Pacific white-sided dolphin), 342 nucleotides long. It is a transcript of the gene named small nuclear ribonucleoprotein E pseudogene, with no coding region annotated. The transcript has a single exon. The record is from RefSeq and is a predicted model, not a curated record. Lineage: Eukaryota; Metazoa; Chordata; Mammalia; Artiodactyla; Delphinidae.
CAGGAUAGUGUGGUCUUUGUGAGCUUCCACCAUGGCGUAUCGGGGCCAGGGCCAGAAGGUGCAGAAGGUGAUGGUGCAGCCAAUCAAUCUCAUCUUCAGAUACUUGCAAAAUAGAUCUCGGAUUCAGGUCUGGCUUUAUGAGCAAGUGAAUAUGCGGAUAGAGGGCUGUAUCAUUGGUUUUGAUGAGUAUAUGAACCUCGUAUUAGAUGAUGCAGAAGAGAUUCAUUCUAAAACAAAGUCAAGAAAACAACUGGGUUGGAUCAUGCUAAAAGGAGGUAACAUUACUCUGCUCCAAAGUGUCUCCAACUAGAAAUGAUCAAUGAAGUGAGAAAUUGUUGAGAA